This 71-nucleotide transfer RNA is filed under the name Urostrophus gallardoi. Its description in RNAcentral is "tRNA-Tyr". Lineage: Eukaryota; Metazoa; Chordata; Lepidosauria; Squamata; Leiosauridae. The record is from RNAcentral.
UGAUAAAAAGGGGAAUGUAACCCCUAUAAAUGGGUCUACAGCCCACCGCCUAAACACUCGGCCAUCUUACC